AUGCACCUAGUUCUUCUAAAAGGAAAAAAGAAAAAGAAAAAUGAUAGGACUAUGCAUACCUCUGAACCUGAGAUAGAAAAACCUUAUGAAGAUAACAAUCAUGUUUCUAUUUCUGAUGUUGAAACUCAAUCUGGUACUAAACAUUCACCUAGUGAUAAUGAUGAUGUUCAUGAAGAUACUCAAUCAGACAAUGAUAAAGAACCAUAUAAUGAUGUUGAGAUAGAACCGACUGUUGAUCUUGAUAACCCACAACCUAAAAAUAAACGAUAUGAUAAAAGAGACUUUGUGGCUACAAAAGAUGGUAAAUAA
This 309-nucleotide ribosomal RNA is filed under the name Triticum aestivum (bread wheat). RNAcentral describes it as "partial small subunit ribosomal RNA". The record is from RNAcentral. Lineage: Eukaryota; Viridiplantae; Streptophyta; Magnoliopsida; Poales; Poaceae.